RNAcentral lists this ribosomal RNA (186 nucleotides) under uncultured rumen bacterium. Its description in RNAcentral is "partial 16S ribosomal RNA". It matches the Rfam family "Bacterial small subunit ribosomal RNA", at positions 340 to 524 of the family's 1533-position model. The record is from RNAcentral.
UACGGGAGGCAGCAGUAGGGAAUCUUUCACAAUGGGCGAAAGCCUGAUGGAGCAACGCCGCGUGCAGGAUGACGGCCUUCGGGUUGUAAACUGCUUUUAUACAGGGAUAAAGUGACGUACGUGUACGUUUUUGUAGGUACUGUAUGAAUAAGGACCGGCUAAUUCCGUGCCAGCAGCCGCGGUAAU